GCCAGGCGUGGUGGUGUGCGCCUGUAGUCCCAGCUACUUGGGAGGCUGUGGUAGGAGGAUCGCUUGAGUCCAGGAGUUUGAGGCUGCAGUGAGCUAUGAUGGCACCACUGCACUCCAGCCUGGGCAAUACAGUGAGACCCUGUCUCUA
Molecule: unclassified non-coding RNA, 148 nt
Organism: Pongo abelii (Sumatran orangutan)
Lineage: Eukaryota; Metazoa; Chordata; Mammalia; Primates; Hominidae
Rfam family: Metazoan signal recognition particle RNA
About the family: The signal recognition particle (SRP) is a universally conserved ribonucleoprotein.
Source: Ensembl